AUUGAACGCUGGCGGCAGGCCUAACACAUGCAAGUCGAGCGGAUGAAGGGAGCUUGCUCCUGGAUUCAGCGGCGGACGGGUGAGUAAUGCCUAGGAAUCUGCCUGGUAGUGGGGGAUAACGUCCGGAAACGGGCGCUAAUACCGCAUACGUCCUGCGGGAGAAAGUGGGGGAUCUUCGGACCUCACGCUAUCAGAUGAGCCUAGGUCGGAUUAGCUAGUUGGUGGGGUAAAGGCCUACCAAGGCGACGAUCCGUAACUGGUCUGAGAGGAUGAUCAGUCACACUGGAACUGAGACACGGCCCAGACUCCUACGGGAGGCAGCAGUGGGGAAUAUUGGACAAUGGGCGAAAGCCUGAUCCAGCCAUGCCGCGUGUGUGAAGAAGGUCUUCGGAUUGUAAAGCACUUUAAGUUGGGAGGAAGGGCAGUAAGUUAAUACCUUGCUGUUUUGACGUUACCAACAGAAUAAGCACCGGCUAACUUCGU
This 483-nucleotide ribosomal RNA is filed under the name uncultured bacterium. RNAcentral describes it as "partial 16S ribosomal RNA". It matches the Rfam family "Bacterial small subunit ribosomal RNA", at positions 30 to 506 of the family's 1533-position model. The record is from RNAcentral.